This 200-nucleotide unclassified non-coding RNA is filed under the name Aureobasidium sp. Its description in RNAcentral is "partial internal transcribed spacer 2". Lineage: Eukaryota; Fungi; Ascomycota; Dothideomycetes; Dothideales; Saccotheciaceae. The record is from RNAcentral.
UUAAGUUCAGCGGGUAUCCCUACCUGAUCCGAGGUCAACCUAGAAAAAUAAAGGUUUCAGUCGGCAGAGUUCCUCUCCUUUGACAGACGUUCGAAUAAAUUCUACUACGCCUAAAGCCGGAGUGGCCUCGCCGAGGUCUUUAAGGCGCGCCCAACUAAGGACGACGCCCAAUACCAAGCAUAGCUUGAGUGGUGUAAUGA